UGCCAGUUUGGGGUUUUGGUAUG
Molecule: unclassified non-coding RNA, 23 nt
Filed under: Mus musculus (house mouse)
Lineage: Eukaryota; Metazoa; Chordata; Mammalia; Rodentia; Muridae
Description: oocyte_clustered_small_RNA1434
Source: RNAcentral